GACGAACGCUGGCGGCGUGCUUAACACAUGCAAGUCGAACGGAAAGGCCCUGCUUUUGUGGGGUGCUCGAGUGGCGAACGGGUGAGUAACACGUGAGUAACCUGCCCUUGACUUUGGGAUAACUUCAGGAAACUGGGGCUAAUACCGGAUAGGAGCUCCUGCUGCAUGGUGGGGGUUGGAAAGUUUCGGCGGUUGGGGAUGGACUCGCGGCUUAUCAGCUUGUUGGUGGGGUAGUGGCUUACCAAGGCUUUGACGGGUAGCCGGCCUGAGAGGGUGACCGGCCACAUUGGGACUGAGAUACGGCCCAGACUCCUACGGGAGGCAGCAGUGGGGAAUAUUGCACAAUGGGCGGAAGCCUGAUGCAGCAACGCCGCGUGCGGGAUGACGGCCUUCGGGUUGUAAACCGCUUUCGCCUGUGACGAAGCGUGAGUGACGGUAAUGGGUAAAGAAGCACCGGCUAACUACGUGCCAGCAGCCGCGGUGAUACGUAGGGUGCGAGCGUUGUCCGGAUUUAUUGGGCGUAAAGGGCUCGUAGGUGGUUGAUCGCGUCGGAAGUGUAAUCUUGGGGCUUAACCCUGAGCGUGCUUUCGAUACGGGUUGACUUGAGGGAGGUAGGGGAGAAUGGAAUUCCUGGUGGAGCGGUGGAAUGCGCAGAUAUCAGGAGGAACACCAGUGGCGAAGGCGGUUCUCUGGGCCUUUCCUGACGCUGAGGAGCGAAAGCGUGGGGAGCGAACAGGCUUAGAUACCCUGGUAGUCCACGCUGUAAACGGUGGGUACUAGGUGUGGGGUCCAUUCCACGGGUUCCGUGCCGUAGCUAACGCUUUAAGUACCCCGCCUGGGGAGUACGGCCGCAAGGCUAAAACUCAAAGGAAUUGACGGGGCCCCGCACAAGCGGCGGAGCAUGCGGAUUAAUUCGAUGCAACGCGUAGAACCUUACCUGGGUUUGACAUGGAUCGGGAGUGCCCAGAGAUGGGUGUGCCUCUUUUGGGGUCGGUUCACAGGUGGUGCAUGGCUGUCGUCAGCUCGUGUCGUGAGAUGUUGGGUUAAGUCCCGCAACGAGCGCAACCCUUGUUCACUGUUGCCAGCACGUUAUGGUGGGGACUCAGUGGAGACCGCCGGGGUCAACUCGGAGGAAGGUGGGGAUGACGUCAAGUCAUCAUGCCCCUUAUGUCCAGGGCUUCACGCAUGCUACAAUGGCUGGUACAGAGAGUGGCGAGCCUGUGAGGGUGAGCGAAUCUCGGAAAGCCGGUCUCAGUUCGGAUUGGGGUCUGCAACUCGACCUCAUGAAGUCGGAGUCGCUAGUAAUCGCAGAUCAGCAACGCUGCGGUGAAUACGUUCCCGGGGCU
This 1346-nucleotide ribosomal RNA is filed under the name uncultured bacterium. Its description in RNAcentral is "bacterial SSU rRNA". It matches the Rfam family "Bacterial small subunit ribosomal RNA", at positions 28 to 1381 of the family's 1533-position model. The record is from RNAcentral.